AUGGAGGCGGAGGCAGAAGAAGCGAAGGCGCCGCCGCGGAUGAACCGCAGGCAGUGGAGAGCCUCGAGGGGGAACCGCGAGGACAAGUGGACGAGGAAGCGCCGCCUGCUGCUGGAGGCGACCGAGGAGCAACGCCGGGCGCAGGUGGCCGCAGAGGCGGCGGCGGACGCGGCCGAACGUGAGGAUGAGGAGGCCGUCGUGGCGAUGCGGUACCGCGACAACUGGAUUUCGACCUUCUCCCGCUUAUGCGGCUCCUACGAGGAAGCCACGUCCAUAAAGCCAAUGCGGUACACCGACGAGCCGCCACCGCCCUUUGCCGGUGUCGGUUAUGCUAAUGCCGUGGUCAUCUUCUCGGUGAAGGUGACACAGUUAGCUAAUAGCCUGGAUUGGCCGCUCGAUGUUUACGGCAUCGUUGCCGCGCGGGAUUCAAUUGACCGCAAUCGCAACCUCCUCUUCAACCGCACCAGAGACAAUUGCCAGAGGCUCACCUCAGGGGAUGCCUCUCUAUUGUUGACCGGUCCAAGUCGUGCUGUUGUGAUCGUUGAUCCUGUCAACUACGAGGUUGAACUAAAAGUGAAGGGUGACACGCCGUCUGAAGAUAAACUCUCGAGCCUUCUAGUCAUCGAGGACAAGUACUAUCUUCCUGGUGAUCACCGCCAAGGAGUUCAUUGCCACACCUACUCUUCUAAGCUAAGCACAGUGGAGGUGACGGUUGGCCAUCUUGCAAAGACAGUGGAGGCUACUAUCGCCGUGCAAGUUGUUGAGGGAUCCUGGCCAACUGGCCAUCACGGGCGAUUUGCUGCACGCAUGGCCAGUCUCCAUGAUCUGGAGAUGGUGCUACUUGAUUCUCAGGAUGGCAUGGUACCUGUUACGAACGAUGGGGCAAUUGAGUUUUCACGACGUGUUGUUUCUGUCGAAGCGGAUGGAGAGCUGACACUUGGUGUGGAUGUCUGGCAAGGUGAUGACAAGGCUGUGAAAUAUCAAGUAAGAUUUGUACCUAGAAAAGCAGGUAGAAGUGAGGAUAUUUGUGAUGUUGGGUUUUGUAAGAUGCGAUUCACUGUUGCUUGGUCGCUUCUUUUGAACUGGUGA
Molecule: ribosomal RNA, 1089 nt
Filed under: Triticum aestivum (bread wheat)
Lineage: Eukaryota; Viridiplantae; Streptophyta; Magnoliopsida; Poales; Poaceae
Description: partial small subunit ribosomal RNA
Source: RNAcentral